This 838-nucleotide non-coding RNA is filed under the name Pongo abelii (Sumatran orangutan). Lineage: Eukaryota; Metazoa; Chordata; Mammalia; Primates; Hominidae. The record is from RNAcentral.
AGCCCAGCACAGCACAGAUUUACAAAAUGAUACACAAAGACCUCAGAGAGUCUUGCUUUGUUGUCCAGGCUGGAAUGCAGUGGCUCAAUUUCGGUUUACUGCAACCUGCACCUCCCAGACUCAAGUGAUUCUCCUGCUUCAGCCUCCCAAGUAGCUGGGAUUACAGUGGUACAUCCUGUAGUUGAGGGCUUCUUAAACCUGAUGAAAUACCAUAGGUUCUACAUGUCAGAUGGAGUCUCACUCUGUCACCCAGGCUGUAGUCCAGUGGCAUGAUCCCGGCUCACUACAACCUCCGCUUCCUGGGUUCAAGCAAUUCUCCUGCUUGUGAUUUCCUCCAUUUGGAUUAGAUAAGGACCAGUGAGAGGUACAUAUUAUUAUCCAUGUUUUACAGAAGAGAAAAGUGAAGUUUAAAGAGCUUAAGUAAUUUUCCAAGAUGGUAGCUACUGAAUGCUGAGAUGGAGACAACCCGUGGCUUCUUGCCUCCCAGGCUUACCACAGUGCUCUACGGCCUCAACUAAAAUAUCUCAAUGUUUAAAGAACAUAAAAGGUUUUCUUUUUGCUCAGUGUCAUAAAAGUGAUGACUCAUCCAACACUGGGUCAAAAAUCAAUCACCAUUCCUAACAUAAGGUAUCUGAAACAUGUAUUUUACUGAACAUUGGAAACCUCAGGUAUUUGUGUAUUUGGGUUCACCCAUAUAUGGUAACUAGUGACCAAGUAAUCAUCUGGUGCCCUGAGUAUUGGCAAACAUCUACAGGAUCAGGCUGUCUUUAAGUCAAAUAAAUGUGGAAAGUUUCAAGUCACCAAGUAUGCAUGGUCAUCUGCUCCACUCAUUUAUAAA